This 490-nucleotide ribosomal RNA is filed under the name uncultured bacterium. RNAcentral's name for it is "partial 16S ribosomal RNA". It matches the Rfam family "Bacterial small subunit ribosomal RNA", at positions 30 to 507 of the family's 1533-position model. The record is from RNAcentral.
AUUGAACGCUGGCGGCAGGCCUAACACAUGCAAGUCGAACGGUAACAGGAAGAAUCUUGCUUCUUUGCUGACGAGUGGCGGACGGGUGAGUAAUGUCUGUGAAACUGCCUGAUGGAGGGGGAUAACUACUGGAAACGGUAGCUAAUACCGCAUAACGUCGCAAGACCAAAGAGGGGGGCCUUCGGGCCUCUUGCCAUCGGAUGUGCCCAGAUGGGAUUAGCUAGUAGGUGGGGUAACGGCUCACCUAGGCGACGAUCCCUAGCUGGUCUGAGAGGAUGACCAGACACACUGGAACUGAGACACGGUCCAGACUCCUACGGGAGGCAGCAGUGGGGAAUAUUGCACAAUGGGCGCAAGCCUGAUGCAGCCAUGCCGCGUGUAUGAAGAAGGCCUUCGGGUUGUAAAGUACUUUCAGCGGGGAGGAAGGGAGUAAAGUUAAUACCUUGGCUCAUUGACGUUACCCGCAGAAGAAGCACCGGCUAACUCCGUG